AUUUUCUCUUCGAAGAUGAUUCGUUGAUCAUUUCAAUUCAGUUCGUUGGUGUGUGGUGUGGUUCGUUUUGUGGUUUACCUUAUUCUUCGCAGAAAUGAUUUUCGAAGCACGAAUCUAAUUCUAAUAUCCGAUGAUGUGGACGUAGGACGAAAACGAGCUAAAAAAAUCAACUAAAGUACCUCCUAUAUGGUUGUCGUUUACAGAAAGAAAGCUCAAAAAUACUUACUUUGAAUGAUCAAACCCAGCAAUAGUUGAGUUAUCUAACAUUGUUUGGCAACGCCGAAUCGAAAGUCGCAAAAUUAUCGAUGAUAAAACAUUACAAAAAUACCAUCUACAGUCGUACAACUAUCCAUGAGGUUGUCAACGUGUGAAGUCGUUCAUGGAAUCAAUCUUGCGAUUCCUGUCAGCAGAAAUACUCUAAACUCGUAUUUUUCAACAUUUACAGCGAAAGAGUAUAUCGAAUGUUGUAGCACUGAUCGGCUGGAAUCUACUUUUGGUGUGUUAUUGGCCAUUCUGGUAGAAUGUAAAAACACAAACAGAGAAAUUGGAUGAAUUUUUAAUGAAUUUUGCUACAUCUAUAAUUAAUAAUCAAAAUACGCAUACUCGUCAUUUUUCGGUACCUAUAGAGAAGAAUAUGAAAUGCAAGAUUUCUAAACACUAACAAAGAACGGUGUUACUCGUACGAAAGCAGAUCAGAAAUAUUUAACCAACUAUAAAAAUGCAGCUUUGCCUACCCGACAAUCCAGCAGAAAAAGAUAGAUACCUAGGAAAUGUGCAAGCAAGGGUUAUUCUUAUUCUUCAGUUUUUUCCAAUCUCUCAUCAUUUUCACCACUAUUGUUCAGCUUCUCUCUAAAAAGAUGAAUGUUUCGAACGAAUCGUCGACAACAAUAAUGAAAACCUACAGUCUAUACUCGAUGGGGCGCGAAUAACGUGAUUUGACAUCGAUAGUCCAAGCCGAGUUAUUUCGCUUUUCCUUCUUUUGUCACCUUCAAAUAAUUCAAUUUUUGCGAAUCAUGUUCAAAUUCAUACAGCAGUAAGUUGCAGAUCAAGACGUGAUAAAUCGUACAAAAAUGCUGGAAGAAUUAAAAAAGGAGAAGACAUGGAGGAGAUAUUUAGGAGGCAUGUCAAAGGCAUUACUAAGAAUCACAGAUAUAAUCUAAAUUUUCGCCGGGAUAAUAUAUCUUACGGAUGAAUUCUUUAACCGCUGAAUAUGCUAAAGAAAAUAUUCAACUACUCAACGAAUCAAUCGUCUUUUCCUUUCGUCGAUCCAUUAAAAUGAACUCGUAUAUAAGUUAGCUAAUCAAUUUUCGCUGGAUCAAUGACAUCAUUGUAGGAACAAAGAAUCCAGGACCAACUGUUUAAUGCAACGAUCUAUAGGUAUAUUAUAGUAUUCUGUGAUGCACAUCGAAUUUAUUCUCCAAGUUCUCCCUGUGAAUAUCAAUCGUGUACGAAAGGAGACAUGGAAGCGAUAACUACAGAAGCAAAAAAAGAAGACAUCCCAAAUUUUCAAAAAAAUUGACGUAAUUCUACAGCCAAGAAGCUAUCGUUCACUUUGUAACCUGACUCAGAAACCCCCUAAAAUUGAGCGCCAAUUACCCGUUGGAAAAUGAAAAUCUAAAGUACCCGCAAGAGUUUGGAUUUGGGGUCAUCUUUCAAUUACAAUUCCUAACAUCAAAACCUAUGUAUUUCAGGAUUCUCUUUGGAUGAAAUAAAAGCUAUAGAAUAUCUAAAAUCGACAUUUUGUCGUCUAGUAUUGCCGUCGAGUUAUGAAGCAAAGCCAACAGAAUUUUAUAUACCUAGAAUCUCAUCAAGCUGGUCCGGAAACGACUACAAAUUUAAUGAUGCUCGAGAUCUACCGUGAUGAUGAUGAAAAGAUUACUCAACCAGAACAACGAAGAAUGAAAAAUUCACGACCAAAUAACUACCUAUAGCCUUUGAUGUGAGAACAUUGGCUCGAACAAUUCAGGUCUCCGAGUUCUGGACAGUUCGUAUUGAACGAGAAAAUUUCUUUUUGCUGUCAUCUACAGCCAAACGUUUGGAAUUAAUGAUUGGAGUUUCGAAUGCCUUGAUGACUCCCUGAUUAAAUAAAUCCAUAUCUUGGAGCAAUUUGCUUUUCCUUCUUUUGUCACGUUCGAAUAGUUCAAUUUUUAUGAAUCAUGUUCAAAUUCAUUGAGAAGUUAAUGCUGAUCAAGAUGUGAUAAAUCGUACAAAAAUGCUCGAAGAAUUAAAAAAUGAGAUAUUUAAAAGACAUGUCGAAGGCAUUACUAAAACCCAGAGACAUAAUUUAAAUCUGAACGAAUGGAAUAAUAUCUACAGAUGAAUCUUUCAAUCGUCUAUAUAUAUGACCGAAUCACCGUCUUUUCCUUUCGUCGAUCCCUUAAAAUGAAAAAUUUAAUGUAUGAAUAAAUAUUCCAUUCCGGUUAGAUUUAUUAGCCAUUCGUAUAGUGUGAAAGCAACUUUAAAAGAUACCAAGACUUUAAUAAGAAUUCUGAUGCUUGGAAUAAAUUUCGAUCAUGGCAUUUUCCAUAUCCUUCUGAUCAUCAACAGUCGAUAGAAUCCUGAAGCAUAUCGAAUCUACAAAUACUUCUGUAAUUUCACCUUUGAAUAUCAAUCGUGUACAAACGGAGACAUUGAAGCCAUAACUACAGAAGCAAAAAAAUAAGACAUUCGUUACAGUAAAUUCAGGAUGGAGGAAGGAAAAUGAACAACCAUUCCCAAAUUUUCAAAAAAAUUAACGUCCCUCAGGGCCUCAAUCACCUAAAUUAAUUCUAAAGCCAAGAAGUUAUCGUUCACUUUGUAACCUGACUCAGAAACCCCCUAAAAUUGAGCGCCAAUUACCGGUUGAAACAUGAAAAUCUAAAGUACGCGCAAGAUUUUGGUUUUUGGGUCAUCUGGUUUUGUUUACCAUCUACAUUAUUCGCAUCGCUUCCAAGCAGUCAAAGAAAAUUCCUGUUAGUAUUGUUGCUACGAUGUUUCCAUAUCUGCGAAUAAGAUCGAGAUGGUCACGAUCAACGGAGACCAAGUCAUUUACGUGAAAGUUGUGUUGCUCAAUCUUCAGCUUCUGAUAAGUAAACCUGCAGCAGUGAAGAGAAGUACUGUACGGAAAGGCGAAAAUAGUGUCAAAGAAAACAAUGAAAACAAUAACUUAUUUAUGAAGUGCUGUAAUGGACGAUUUUGAAACUACAAUUAUCGCACCUAAGGACGAAUUAUGUAGUUUUAAUUGCAUUGCCUUUUCUUCAACUACAGAAUACAAAAAUACGAACGUACAAUAAUUUCAUAACUUUUGGUAAUUUGAACGAAUCCACAACUUUGCCCAAGUCCAAGAUCAUCCUUGACUGCCAACCUGAACAAUGCCAAGGAACCCAUUCAAAUUACAAUUCCUAACAUCAAAGCCUAUGUAUUUCACAGCAUGCAUCUGUGAUUCUGGCGAGUCAAUUCGUUACAGUUAACAUUGGAAUAAUUCACCAAACAGGCUCAGCAGUUCGAACGAGCAUUUUAUUCAAUUAUUUAUCGCGCAAUCUGCAGACGAUGAAAUAAAACCUACAGAAUAUCAGAACUUGAAAUUUUAUCGUCUAGUAUCAUGUACAACGCAGUGAACUAUAAAUGAGAUAUUCGUAAUGCAUGACGUUAAAAAAUCACAGAAUACGAAAUCUCUGUGUAUGGAUUAACUUUAAUAAAUAGUCUGCUUCGAAUCAAACAGUAUACCAGAAACGGAGUUGAUCCCCUUGGCAAUUGCAGAGAUAUGUAUCUCAACAGUACACAUUGAAUUGAGAAAUGAAACAGUCUUCUAUGAUGAUUUCUUCAUUUUUUCGCAGUCGUUUUCUUUUUUUCAUUUUGAUCGAAUCAUGAAGCAACCAACGAAAUUUUAGAUCAUCAUCUAACUGGUCCAGAAAGGAUUUAUUUAGUUUGAUUGCAUCCAAAAAUGAUACUCCAGCUCUAUCGCGAUGAUGCAAAAGAUUUACUAAACUAUUCAGAACAACGAAGAAUGAAAAGUCCACGACUAAAUAACUAUAGCCUUUGAUGUGUGAAUAUUGGCUCGAACAAUUCAGGUCUCCAAGUUCUGGGCAGUUCGUAUUAGAACGAGAAAAUUUCGUUUCUAUCAUCUACAGCCAGAAGAAUGGGAUCAAUAAUUGGAGUUUCGAAUGCCUUGAUGACUCCCUGAUUAAAUAAAACGAUGUCUUGGAGCAAUUCUGGCGAUAAAGAAAGCUGUUUUGAUUAAAUACAAAUCUGAUGAAACCGUAAUAUUGUUGUGGAUCGAAUUAUUGAAUAUCUAAAGUCAACUGGUGACAUGACUAUUAAUCAAAAGAAACCAUAUCUCAUAUCAUAUCUUCAAUAUUACUUAUUGUUGUUCGACAAAUAUGCAACAUUAGGUUACCUUUUGCCAAAUAUGUGGGAUCCGCCCAGAUGAAGAGAUACUUAUUAAAUGAAGGGCUAAUUGUGAAAGUCGCCUUAGUCAGCAGUGAUUUUUGUACAAAUCAAUGAAAACGUUGUUGUCCUGCUUCAGUGAUAAUGUAAAAACUUCAUGGUCAAGUAUUAAAAAAACAUCUUCAACUAUUCCAGAAUGCAUUACAAUACUCAUUUUUCCCUUUAAAAUUGAUGAAAUGUGAAAAAAAAAAAUGUUUAAAGUUGUGUGAACAAAAAAAUGACUAAGGCGACUUUCACAAUUAGCCCUUCAAAUGUUACCUACAUAUGGAAAAGAACGACAAUCAACUAGGACGAAGGACAAAUUCCGAAAAUGAUAUGUUUUGUCCUCAACAACUACAGAGAUUAUUUAAAGCAACUUAAUAGGUAUGGAAAAAAAUUUCAGAACAAACUAGUAGACAAUAAUUGAAUACCCUUGUUACCCUUGUACAUACUUUUUAUUCAGCUCAAUCAUACUAAAUUGAAAAGUUAUUGGAAGAGUGUUUUUUUGUCUUAGUUACGUUUUAGACUCGAUUAAUUCAAACGAUUUUCAAAUGAGCUAAAGUACAUAUUAUGUAGCUCAUUUAAAUUAGCGAUUAUAAUCUCAGCAAGGCAAUAUCUACAUAAUAUAUGUAUUAUAUUGACCUGCUGAGAUUAUAAUACGUAGUUAGCUAAUUUUAGUUUAUUUUUUUUUUCAAAUCUGUUGUUACCUAUUGCCCUGUUUUCUCGUAAGCUAACUUUCUCGAUGUAUAAUGAUAAAUUUUGAGAUAUUGGAUUAACAUUUUUGUUUUUAUUUUUCUCAAUGCUUAGUCUGGUAAACCAGGUUAAAAAUUUAUACCUAUAAAUGCACCUAUUGCUAUUCCAGAAACUUUGUUAUUUGCAAUUGCAUGUGAUCUAGAGUACUAUGAAAGUAUUGUGAUAAAAUGAACUUUCAAAUUUUUUCAUAAGUUGUCUACAUUUUGUGUGUAUUUUUUUUUCAUAAAUAAAAUAAGACUGAAAUUUUACCAGA
Molecule: long non-coding RNA, 5410 nt
Organism: Planococcus citri (citrus mealybug)
Lineage: Eukaryota; Metazoa; Arthropoda; Insecta; Hemiptera; Pseudococcidae
Exons: 4
Source: RefSeq, a predicted model, not a curated record